GAUUCCGCGCGCGGCGGGCGGGGCGGGGGCACGGGGGGCCUACGGGAGGCAGCAGUAGGGAAUAUUGCUCAAUGGGCGAAAGCCUGAAGCAGCAACGCCGCGUGUGCGAAGAAGGCCUUCGGGUCGUAAAGCACUUUUCUGAGAGAUGAGAAAGGACAGUAUCUCAGGAAUAAGUCUCGGCUAACUACGUGCCAGCAGCCGCGGUAAUAAU
Molecule: ribosomal RNA, 211 nt
Filed under: uncultured soil bacterium
Lineage: Bacteria
Description: partial 16S ribosomal RNA
Rfam family: Bacterial small subunit ribosomal RNA
Source: RNAcentral